This 956-nucleotide ribosomal RNA is filed under the name uncultured bacterium. RNAcentral's name for it is "bacterial SSU rRNA". It matches the Rfam family "Bacterial small subunit ribosomal RNA", at positions 8 to 979 of the family's 1533-position model. The record is from RNAcentral.
AGAGUUUGAUCAUGGCUCAGGACGAACGCUGGCGGCGCGCUUCAAGCAUGCAAGUCGAACGAGAACCCCGGGCUUGCCCGGGGGGAGAGUGGCGAACGGGUGAGUAACACGUGAGGAACCUGCCCCGAAGACCGGGAUAACGCCGGGAAACUGGUGCUAAUACCGGAUGCCCUCGCCGGAUCGCAUGGUUCGGCGAGGAAAUGGAUUCCGCUUCGGGAUGGCCUCGCGUCCUAUCAGCUUGUUGGUGGGGUAACGGCCCACCAAGGCAGCGACGGGUAGCUGGUCUGAGAGGAUGUCCAGCCACACUGGGACUGAGACACGGCCCAGACUCCUACGGGAGGCAGCAGCUAGGAAUCUUGCGCAAUGGACGAAAGUCUGACGCAGCGACGCCGCGUGCGGGAUGAAGGCCCUAGGGUCGUAAACCGCUUUCAGCAGGGACGAAACUGACGGUACCUGCAGAAGAAGCCCCGGCCAACUACGUGCCAGCAGCCGCGGUAAUACGUAGGGGGCGAGCGUUGUCCGGAUUUAUUGGGCGUAAAGAGCUCGUAGGCGGUUUGGUAAGUCGGAUGUGAAAUCUCCAGGCUCAACUUGGAGGGGUCAUUCGAUACUGCCAUGACUAGAGUUCGGUAGGGGAGUGUGGAAUACCUGGUGGAGCGGUGAAAUGCGCAGAUAUCAGGUGGAACACCCGUAGCGAAGGCGGCACUCUGGGCCGGAACUGACGCUGAGGAGCGAAAGCGUGGGGAGCGAACAGGAUUAGAUACCCUGGUAGUCCACGCCGUAAACGUUGGGCACUAGGUGUGGGGUUCUAUCGACGGAUUCCGUGCCGUAGCUAACGCAUUAAGUGCCCCGCCUGGGGAGUACGGCCGCAAGGCUAAAACUCAAAGGAAUUGACGGGGGCCGCACAGCGGCGGGAGCAUGUUGCUUAAUUCGAUGCAACGCGAAGAACCUUACCUGGU